UGCAUUCGACCUAUUCAACAA
This 21-nucleotide non-coding RNA is filed under the name Arabidopsis thaliana (thale cress). Lineage: Eukaryota; Viridiplantae; Streptophyta; Magnoliopsida; Brassicales; Brassicaceae. The record is from RNAcentral.